This 258-nucleotide long non-coding RNA is filed under the name Elaeis guineensis (African oil palm). RNAcentral's name for it is "long non-coding RNA (EGUI_LNC010491)". The record is from RNAcentral. Lineage: Eukaryota; Viridiplantae; Streptophyta; Magnoliopsida; Arecales; Arecaceae.
CCUCGGGCUUAUUUUUUUGAAGCACCUCUACAUCGACGAUCGGCAUGACAAAUUCAAGGAGAUCUCAGUCUAGCCGGGGUCGCGCUAGGAGUGAUAUUCUUAUGAUGGUGUCCUCUUCAGUCGAACUGGAUGGUGCCUUAGAGAGUGUGGUUAGUUUGUGCUCGGGCUCUUUGAAAGAUGGUACAGGCCGGGCACUGUUGUUCUUGAUCCUCACCACGGUGGGUUGGCAAGGUGGCUCCAAUGACAAUACUCGAGGAG